This 498-nucleotide ribosomal RNA is filed under the name uncultured bacterium. RNAcentral describes it as "partial 16S ribosomal RNA". It matches the Rfam family "Bacterial small subunit ribosomal RNA", at positions 28 to 508 of the family's 1533-position model. The record is from RNAcentral.
GAUGAACGCUGGCGGCGUGCCUAAUACAUGCGAGUCGAGCGAACAGACGAGGAGCUUGCUCCUCUGACGUUAGCGGCGGACGGGUGAGUAACACGUGGAUAACCUACCUAUAAGACUGGGAUAACUUCGGGAAACCGGAGCUAAUACCGGAUAACAUGUUGAACCGCAUGGUUCAACAGUGAAAGACGGUUUUGCUGUCACUUAUAGAUGGAUCCGCGCCGCAUUAGCUAGUUGGUAAGGUAACGGCUUACCAAGGCAACGAUGCGUAGCCGACCUGAGAGGGUGAUCGGCCACACUGGAACUGAGACACGGUCCAGACUCCUACGGGAGGCAGCAGUAGGGAAUCUUCCGCAAUGGGCGAAAGCCUGACGGAGCAACGCCGCGUGAGUGAAGAAGGUCUUCGGAUCGUAAAACUCUGUUAUUAGGGAAGAACAAAUGUGUAAGUAACUAUGCACGUCUUGACGGUACCUAAUCAGAAAGCCACGGCUAACUACGUGC